UGGACAGUCUGAGUCUGAGUCUCUCUCUCUCUCCAGGGGCUUUGUCUCAGGAUCCUGACUAUACCAUUGAAAUGCCGGAGUCGGUGACAGUGCAGGAGGGCCUGUGUGUCCUUGUGCCCUGCACCGUCUCCUACCCCAAGUACUGUUGGAUUAACUCGGACCCAGCUUAUGGCUAUUGGUACAAGGUUGAUGCCGCUACUGGACAGAAUGUCCUGGUGGCUACAAACAACGGCAAGCAAAAAGUGCAGGAGGAGACCCUGGACAGAUUCCAACUCUUUGGGAACCCCCAGAGUUAUGGCUGCUCCCUGAACAUCAGAAAUGUACAUACGGGGGACGGGGGGGCAUACAUCUUUCAAGCGGAGAGAGGUGAUUACAUGAAAUACAGUUUCAAAAAGAAGGUGUUCCUGCAGGUGACAGGUAGGAUAAAGACCCAGAAGAAUGGGGCAUUUUCUCAUCCAGGGUUGGGGGAGGCAUUCAGGACCCUGGGAGUUAAGGGAGAUAAGUGAAGGCAACCUCUCUCUCUCUUCCUCAGCUCUGACCCAGAAACCUGAGAUCUACAUCCCAAAGACACUGGUGUCCAGCCGCCCUGGGAACUUGAACUGCACUGUUCCAUGGGCUUAUGAGAAAGGGAAGCACCUCAAAUUCUUCUGGACAGGAGCUGCCAUCAAUUUUCUGGCUCCUAAGAUUCGCAGUUCCUCGGUGCUCACACUCAUCCCACGGCCACAAGACCUCAACACCAACCUCACCUGUUAGGUGACUCUACCUGGAGUAGGUGUGUCCAUAGAGAGGACUGUCCAGCUCGAUGUCUUCUAUGCUGCACAGUUUGUGACCAUCAACGCUUCCUUGGGAAACUACAGAGCUCUGAAGACCUUGGGUAAUGGCACACUGCUACCUGUCCUGGAGGGUCAGUCCCUGCUUCUGGAAUGCAUGGCUGAUGGCAAUCCCCCUGCCAUGCUGAGCUGAGCCUAUGAAGGAAAAUCCCUGAACACCUUCCGGUUCCCAGCGCCCAGGGUCCUGAAGCUGCCCCAAGUAAAAGCUGAAAAUGAAAGGGAAUUCACCUGCCUGGCUCAGAACUCUGUGGGCUCCCAGCACACUUCUUUGAGCCUCUCUGUGUAUAGAAAACCCUCCUCCAGCAGUUCUGUGUCUGUGAAAUAUGAGGGGUCCUGGCCCCUGUUGGGGCCUGGCUUCCUCCUCACCUGGCUUCAUCGGGAUCUACUACACCAGGUG
This is a long non-coding RNA of Loxodonta africana (African savanna elephant), 1227 nucleotides long. RefSeq lists it as uncharacterized. NCBI's taxonomy places the organism in Eukaryota, Metazoa, Chordata, Mammalia, Proboscidea, Elephantidae. The transcript has 4 exons. The record is from RefSeq and is a predicted model, not a curated record.